RNAcentral lists this ribosomal RNA (489 nucleotides) under uncultured bacterium. RNAcentral describes it as "partial 16S ribosomal RNA". It matches the Rfam family "Bacterial small subunit ribosomal RNA", at positions 30 to 507 of the family's 1533-position model. The record is from RNAcentral.
UUGAACGCUGGCGGCAGGCCUAACACAUGCAAGUCGAACGGUAACAGGAAGAAGCUUGCUUCUUUGCUGACGAGUGGCGGACGGGUGAGUAAUGUCUGGGAAACUGCCUGAUGGAGGGGGAUAACUACUGGAAACGGUAGCUAAUACCGCAUAACGUCGCAAGACCAAAGAGGGGGACCUUCGGGCCUCUUGCCAUCGGAUGUGCCCAGAUGGGAUUAGCUAGUAGGUGGGGUAACGGCUCACCUAGGCGACGAUCCCUAGCUGGUCUGAGAGGAUGACCAGCCACACUGGAACUGAGACACGGUCCAGACUCCUACGGGAGGCAGCAGUGGGGAAUAUUGCACAAUGGGCGCAAGCCUGAUGCAGCCAUGCCGCGUGUAUGAAGAAGGCCUUCGGGUUGUAAAGUACUUUCAGCGGGGAGGAAGGGAGUAAAGUUAAUACCUUUGCCCAUUGACGUUACCCGCAGAAGAAGCACCGGCUAACUCCGUG